Long non-coding RNA from Pipra filicauda (Wire-tailed manakin), 1251 nucleotides. RefSeq lists it as uncharacterized. Lineage: Eukaryota; Metazoa; Chordata; Aves; Passeriformes; Pipridae. The transcript has 3 exons. The record is from RefSeq and is a predicted model, not a curated record.
AAGGCAAUUACCCUGUUGGAAGAUGAACAGUCAUUACAGCUAGACCUCAGAGGCUGAUGCAGGUAGAAAAUGCACCCAUGGAAGUAUGACAGAGGUGCUCACCACACUCACUUGUAAAAUCCUUCAUUCAGUCAUCUUGUCACACCAGAUGUGUAAGCUGAGGGAUUUGUUCAUUAGUAGUGUGAAAAACUGAAGUAAACUGAAACUAAAAUAAUUCUGUAGUCACGAGGUCAUUAUCCUAAUCAGGAAUAAACUGGUGGCAUAAGUGUAAGAGGGCCAGCAUGACUGUCACCACUCUACAACUGGGCAUUAAAGUGUCGUGAUGCUGCAGAGGCUCUGUUAGAGGCUUCCAGCUACUGAGCAGAGGAUGUGAGUGUGCUCUGGCACUUCAGGAUCAGAGAUCAAUACUCUCUGAAAACCCCAACCCUUGAAGGAAAGGAAAUUCAUGUGAGCAUCUCCUUUGGUGUACCACUAAUUGUACAUUCUUUCUCUCUGCGUAUCUGAGUUGUUCUUGAACUGAGCUCUCUGAAGUCCAGGGGACACAACCAUUUUCUUUUAAACUUCUUGAUUGCUUGAGUUUGUCUCAGUCUAUCAGUGAAGCAAAACAGAUGCCUCGUGAUUAAAAUUGGCAAGGCAACUUCGUUUGAGUUUUUAAAUUUGUUGCAGACAAUGAAAUUGAAAUCAGUCUUUUGUUGGGAGGAUUGAUUGCCUCUGAAAGUAUUUGAAUUUUUAUUUGUAAUAGUAGCUUUAGAAUGCAGCUAAUUGGUGUGUGCUGGAAUGUUCUUAUACUUGACAUUUAAAAUCUAACCAACACUGAUAAAAGAAAUAUAAGUAAAAAAUUAUAGUGGAUAGAAAUAAAUCCAUUUUACAAUUUGAGCUACUGUAAAUGAUCAGAGCUCUAAUACAAGAAAGAUGUAUUCAGGUAUAUUAUUGUUCACUGCAAUUCCUGUCUAUACAUAUAUUCUUUUGUGUGUCUGUUAAACAUGAUCUUAACAUGAAGCCCUUUUUCUCCUAACUCAAAAGCUUUCUCGAAGUUGAUGAAUGCCAUACAUAAUGGUAUACAAAGCACCAGCUUUGAGAUGAAGGAAAGCAAGCUCACCAUUUUUCUGAACAAAAAUAAAACAUCUGAAGGGUAUCUGACAAAGUGUGCUGAAUUUGGAACUUGUUCAGUGCUACCAUGCUUGAUAUUCCUUGGCCAGCUGACAGCUCACUUAUCUAAUGCACGUGGAGCCUAACGGUUUCAUAGACAGG